Long non-coding RNA from Spea bombifrons (plains spadefoot toad), 343 nucleotides. RefSeq lists it as uncharacterized. The transcript has 3 exons. The record is from RefSeq and is a predicted model, not a curated record. Lineage: Eukaryota; Metazoa; Chordata; Amphibia; Anura; Pelobatidae.
AUGAAGUAGAGGAACAUGAAAGCUAGUCUGCCAACAGGGUGCUAGCGUCUGUAGGACUAGUCUGAAAGCAGGGAGAAACCAUGAACAGCCGAAUCGUGUCCUUCCCUUGGUUGCAUAGAUGACCAAACUUCAGUCGAUUUUUCCAACCCAACCAGCUAUUUUACAUUAAUUUCAUCCGCAUGCGAAGCCCUCGGCUGUGGAUCGUGCCAGCCGCUGACAAUAACAGAUCUUCAAAUACAGCUCUCUCUGUCCGGUACAUAACAAAAGUAACAUUAAAGAAGGAUGCAUCCAUGAGAACCAAAGGGAUACACCCGGUUAUUAAAAGAGCUUUGGAGUGUUCUUU